UACGGAGGAUGCGAGCGUUAUCCGGAUUUAUUGGGUUUAAAGGGUGCGUAGGCGGACUGGAAAGUCAGCGGUAAAAUCGAGAGGCUCAACCUCUUUCCGCCGUUGAAACUGUCGGUCUUGAGUGGGCGAGAAGUAUGCGGAAUGCGUGGUGUAGCGGUGAAAUGCAUAGAUAUCACGCAGAACUCCGAUUGCGAAGGCAGCUUACUAAGCCAUAACUGACACUGAAGCACGAAAGCGUGGGGAUCAAACAGG
RNAcentral lists this ribosomal RNA (252 nucleotides) under uncultured Bacteroidales bacterium. Its description in RNAcentral is "partial 16S ribosomal RNA". It matches the Rfam family "Bacterial small subunit ribosomal RNA", at positions 524 to 776 of the family's 1533-position model. Lineage: Bacteria; Pseudomonadati; Bacteroidota; Bacteroidia; Bacteroidales. The record is from RNAcentral.